GGCAAGAUGGCCGAGUGGUCUAAGGCGCUGUGUUCAGGAAAAAGUUCUACAGGAGAAUUCAUCUCCAUCGCAGUCUUCGGGCGUGGGUUCGAAUCCCACUCUUGUCA
This is a transfer RNA of 107 nucleotides. It matches the Rfam family "tRNA". Rfam says of the family: Transfer RNA (tRNA) molecules are approximately 80 nucleotides in length. The record is from Rfam.